CUAUAAUGUUAAAAUGUCAGAUGUUCAUAUUCAAAAUGUCCAAAGCUUCAAAUAAUGAGGUAAAUGUACCUAAAAGAAAUCCCUGUGAACCAAAACAUCAGAUUUCACACUGUUUUGCAGCAUUUUUG
Long non-coding RNA from Etheostoma spectabile (orangethroat darter), 128 nucleotides. RefSeq lists it as uncharacterized. The record is from RefSeq and is a predicted model, not a curated record. The transcript has 3 exons. Lineage: Eukaryota; Metazoa; Chordata; Actinopteri; Perciformes; Percidae.